UGUUGUCUUCUCUUCUCUCUCUUUCCCCUAUUUUCUCUCCUCUAUUUGUUUUCCACAAACCCUAACCCCCGCCCUAACCCGCCGUCAUCCCCCUUUCGUACUUCUCACGACCUUACUAAUGUACCAUUUUCGUAUUGCUCAGAUCUUGCUAUAACAAAUAGAUUAAUUAACAAUCAUAUUUCUUGAAGUAGUUAAAAGAAGAAAAUGCUCUGAUUUCUUGAUUCAUUCAAUCUCAUCGUCCUUCUUGCGCUUUCAAUUCUCCUUUCUGGACUACCAAUUUUGGUGCUCCUGUUUGGAAUGAUAACUUUUCCCUCACCCUUGGAUCUAGAGCUUUUGUGAACGCUACCGCAUCAUUAAACCCGGGAUUGCUUUUCGAUUCAAGUUAUGCUGAUUGCAUGUCUUUUCUAUGCGGGAAUGGUCUUUUGUCUAUCUAUCUAUUAGAACUCAUAAUAUUUUAUUGUUUCAACAGUACAGUAUAUGAAUAUGAACUACACCUUCAGGCCAUAUCGGUAUUCACAUUAUUUGUAGCAUCUAAAGUAAUUUAUAUGACAGGCCUUUAUGGAUUGAAAGAGUAGCCGUCUAAAGCAAGCCGAGAUAAGAGUCGCAAUACCUUCACAUUAGUAUAGCUGAAUUUUAUGUUUGAUGGUUAAUGUUGAUGAUAUAGCUGAAUUUUCACAAUCCUAAAGCUGCUAACGAGCUCAUUCGUGCUGAUGGAGGAUUCAAUUUCACUAUCAACCUUAUUGACGCAUUUCAAUACUCUGUACUACAAACCAGAAUUUUGUUGGAGUGAAAGGUUUGCAUUGAGUUCUAUGUGGAGCAUUUAUCUCUGCUCAGAUUGUGUCUUUGGCUCUUUGCUUUAUAAUAGAUCUAGAUCUAUUCGCAACGUAACAGUGUGAAGUUUCCUUAUUCUCCUUUUGUUUCCAAUUUUUGUUUUUACAUGUGCAAAUACACUUAAGUUGUACAAGAAGGGAGAACUUGAAAAUAUGCUAUAUGAAACUUUGCUAUUUGUACAUUUUUUUUUAUGCCAUAGGUAUGGUUUGUGUUAAUGUGGUUAUUUUUAAGGUGUAUAAAACAAUACAUUGCUCUUUUUGUUAUUUGGACAAUAAGGAUUUGGUUCUGCCUAUAUGUAACAUGUCUUUAUUUUAUCUCAGCAUAUGCAUUUCAUGUUUAUUGGCUUUCUUUUUCUUUUUCUAUGAAUUUACAUGACACUAAUAAAUGAUCAACUCUGUCGAUUUUGGAAAAUUCAUGUUCUUGCCGGAAAUAACUUGCCUUUGCUUUUGAGCCAGUUCUAACAGCGGAAGCACACAAUUCCAAUGAUUUGCUGUCACUGAAAUUCAUUGAAAUUCAAGCUUUCUUCUGGUUCAUCUGUCACGGUACAAGUGAUUGGAAGAUUGUUAAUCUUGAGCACUUGAUAAAUGUUGAAAGGAGAUCAACAUGUUGAAAGGGAGCAAUAGAAGGGGUAUAUUGUUUGUGGUUCUGUAAGCUGAUACAAGAUAUUCA
Molecule: long non-coding RNA, 1500 nt
Organism: Vicia villosa (hairy vetch)
Lineage: Eukaryota; Viridiplantae; Streptophyta; Magnoliopsida; Fabales; Fabaceae
Exons: 5
Source: RefSeq, a predicted model, not a curated record